Molecule: long non-coding RNA, 1187 nt
Filed under: Homo sapiens (human)
Lineage: Eukaryota; Metazoa; Chordata; Mammalia; Primates; Hominidae
Description: novel transcript
Source: RNAcentral
GGGAACAGUAGAAUCAACAGCAAUCAAGACUGGCAAGCCAACAUACUGGCCACCAUAAAACUGAAAAGAGAGCUUAUUGUACCUCACGCACAGCAGCAGGUUUAACAGAAAAGUAGACAUGUUUAUAGUCCCAGAUUUACAGCACACCUUAUAAACACCUUAUUACUUAGAAUCCAGUCUGCUGUCCCAGAAACUAAGAAUGUGACUUUGUUAAGCAGUAGGAUUUGUUGACAUAAAUGUCUUGACUAAGUUUGCCAUUGUGGUUAACCAAAACGCAUUUACUCCUGGGAAAGUAAACACAAGCAAACAAAAUGCCUCUUAUACUACAAUACGGAAGAUUCCUUUUUAAUAGACAUUACAGGUUUGUCAGGUUUGUCUGAGAAGAACAAGCAAUGGGGAAAGGAUUCCCUAUUUAAUAAAUGGUGCUGGGAAAACUGGCUAGUCAUAUGUAGAAAGCUGAAACUGGAUCCCUUCCUUACACCUUAUACAAAAAUUAAUUCAAGAUGGAUUAAAGACUUAAACGUUAGACCUAAAACCAUAAAAACCCUAGAAGAAAACCUAGGCAUUACCAUUCAGGACAUAGGCAUGGGCAAGGACUUCAUGUCUAAACUACCAAAAGCAAUGGCAACAAAAGCCAAAAUUGACAAAUGGGAUCUCAUUAAACUAAAGAGCUUCUGCACAGCAAAAGAAACUACCAUCAGAGUGAACAGGCAACCUACAAAAUGGGAGAAAAUUCUCGCAACCUACUCAUCUGACAAAGGGCUAAUAUCCAGAAUCUACAAUGAACUCAAACAAAUUUACAAGAAAAAAACAAACAACCCCAUCAAAAAAUGGGCAAAGGAUAUGAACAGACACUUCUCAAAAGAAGACAUUUAUGCAGCCAACAGACACAUGAAAAAAUGCUCAUCAUCACUGGCCAUCAGAGAAAUACAAAUCCAAACCACAAUGAGAUAUCACACCAGUUAGAAUGGCAAUCAUUAAAAAGUCAGGAAACAACAGGUGCUGGAGAGGAUGUGGAGAAAUAGGAACACUUUUACACUGUUGCUGGGACUGUAAACAAGUUCAACCAUUGUGGAAGUCAGUGUGGCGAUUCCUCAGGGAUCUAGAACUAGAAAUACCAUUUGACCCAGCCAUCCCAUUACUGGGUAUAUACCCAAAGGACUAUAAAUCAUGCUGCUAUAAAGACA